AACGAACGCUGGCGGCAUGCCUAACACAUGCAAGUCGAACGAGACCUUCGGGUCUAGUGGCGCACGGGUGCUUAACGCGUGGGAACCUGCCCUUAGGUUCGGAAUAACUCCCCGACAGGGGUGCUAAUACCGGAUAAUGUCUUCGGACCAAAGAUUUAUCGCCUUUGGAUGGGCCCGCGUUGGAUUAGCUAGUUGGUAGGGUAAAAGCCUAACACGGCGUCGAUCCAUAGCUGGUCUGGGAGGAUGAUCAGCCACACUGGGACUGAGACACGGCCCAGACUCCUACGGGAGGCAGCAGUGGGGAAUAUUGGACAAUGGGCGAAAGCCUGAUCCAGCCAUGCCGCGUGGGUGAUGAAGGCCUUAGGGUUGUAAAGCUCUUUUACCCGGGAUGAUAAUGACAGUACCGGGAGAAUAAGCUCCGGCUAACUACGUG
This 433-nucleotide ribosomal RNA is filed under the name uncultured bacterium. Its description in RNAcentral is "partial 16S ribosomal RNA". It matches the Rfam family "Bacterial small subunit ribosomal RNA", at positions 29 to 507 of the family's 1533-position model. The record is from RNAcentral.